GUCCUUCUAGACUGAGCUGCAAAGACGCCCCUGCCUCCAUGCCUUUGUUCAAUGUGAUGAUGCCCCUGGGAAUGGGAGGUGAUGGUUUCUCACUCCGGCCCUAGUACAGAGUAUGCUCUUGAAGCUGGAUUCCAUCAGCAGAAGCCUUUUAUGUGGCAGUAGGCCUCCAGGGAGGAGAAGAAAAUGUACAAGAGCCACAGGAGCACGAAGAGGCAGGAUGUGAGGAGCUUGGCAGUCCGGGGCCCACCCAGCUCACCUCCGAUUUCCGGCCUCCGCCGAUACAGCAGCACCCCCACGUUGAUGAAAGCAAAAAUGGUGAAGAGAGUGACAGAGAAAGCUAGUGUGCCAGGGGACACUUUGAACUGUUCCCCGUUGGCUGCAUGGUAGAUGGCAGCGAUGGACCAGGCCACUCCGAUUCCCAGGAAGACAUUCACCGCGUUGCUGCCGGUGACAUUACCUAUGGACGCGUCUGCAUACUGGUCCUGGGUGGCCGCCACUUUGCUUGCAAAUGUGUCUGUGGAGGAAAAAGAAAAAGGCAGUGUCACUCAGUAUUUUAAAGUGGGCUGUGGAGCGCUGGAAGCGUCAGCCAUGUACUCUAGGAUCCAAUCCCCCAGUGGAAACCCAGGGACCAGGAGAGGGUUUUGCUGUUCUCUGAAGCCCCGGUUCUGUGGUCAGGACGAUGGGAUCGAGGCAUCAGAAGCCAAAGGUUUGGUGUCGGCUGUGUUAUUGACCAGAGGAUCUUGGUCAAGUUCUUGACCCACAGGUACCACAGGUCUCUCUCAUCUUGAUCUCGCAGGGUCACAUUUUUCAGAGGGAUCGUAGCCCAUCGACGUCAGAAUCAUGUGGGGGUCCUGCUGUCAUAAUAGAAUGUGUGACCCCAGGCAGAUUACUUAAUUUCUCUAAGUUUCAGUUUUUUAAUGUGUGAAAUGGGAUAGGGACGCCCAUUUCAGGGUAUUGUUAGCCUGAAAUACAACAUGUGAAAUGCUCAUGUUUCUUGGAGCAAGGUAAGAGUAGCUCUUUUUUUCCUGUUUUGCAAAGACCAUGUAAUGCAGGCUAGAUCAGUUUACUAAAAGCGGAGGCAGGAUCUGAUACAGCUCCCCUUAUCGAGCCGGUAAACAGAACUUGCAAGAUACUGUUUCUUUUCUAUAUAAUUUUCUCAUUAAUAACAUCGAGGUCCUCUCAGCUACCUUGGCAGAAGACCUUGCACAGAAGGUUUAUAGAAGAUGUGAAGAGCUUGUCCAAUUGAACUCACAAUUGCAGAGCCAGUAACGGCAGGACAGGCAGCUGAGCAAGGGAAGUAAAGGAAAGAGUGGAAGGCAGGAGAAAGCUCGGCGCUCAGCUGCUGCAGAGGAACAUCUGAGACGCUGCUCUGCGCUGACAUGGCGGCCGGCACCAGCUGGUGGCGAACAGAUGGCCUCGGUAGGCUGGGCCGUCGGGGUGGAGGCGCUGCCUCCCUCUGCUGCCGGGGCAGGUGGCCUGGUGCCGGGCCACACCUGCCUACCACCCCCCGGCAUGGGCUACAGGGCACAUUGGACUUCCAGGGUGCCCCAUCUCCGCUCAACCUCUAAGACUUUCUGGAGGUUUCUGCCGCUUAACCAGAAGGGAAUGAGGCAUAACAUCAAAGAUUCCUGAGCCUCGGGGACCCUAAACACCCAGAUUAGACUUUUUGCCAGAUCUGCAGGGAUGUCCCCCUCCCUCGGUUUUUCAAUAGCCUGUUGUGAAUAUCCAAGGGGAAUUCUUGUAAUAACAGGCUCCUGUUUUCAAAUGCCUUUCUCUGGCUUCCCUACAGAAUUAACAGCCAAAGUAACCAGUUUGUCACAUAAAUGAAACCUGUUUGGGGCCUUCGGCAUCUGGUAGGCUUUAUUUACCUGCGUUCGACAUCAGGCCUUUUGUCUGUUUUAAUUCAAAAGCUAUGCGAAAAUGAUAGAGACACAAGCAAAUCCAAACCAUUAACCUUAGCUCCAGCAGAGACAAUGCUGUUUUUCAAAUAAAGUAUGAUGGAAUCUCCCCAAAUUACCUUCUAUCACUGCUUUGCUGCUUCACGCAAAGAGCAACACAUCACACACCAUAUGUCAGGCACUGCCAAGCCUUACCCUGAACGCUAAGCCCAUAACCUGCUUACUGUUGAACAAGGCAAAAGACACUCAUAUGCCAUUCCUCAAAGUAAAAUCCAAGAAAUAACUACUGCUGUGGUUUCAGGGGGAAGGGGGGUGUCGUAAUCCUGUGCAGAACUUGGCUCAUUAAACAAACACAUGCAAAUCAGAUUUCCCAUGUGAUUGGCACAAAGUAAGACAUGUUGAUAAUUACAUAUUAUAUUACAUAUAUUACAUAAAUUACAUAUAUAUUACAUAUAUAUAUAUAUAUAUAUAUAUAUAUAUAUAUAUAUCUUCCUACGUAUACACCUUAGGUCAGAUUUCUAGUAGGAAUUUUUCCUUUUAACUCUCACCUUGAACUCUAAUAAAUUUUGAAUUAGCCAUAGCCUUAGACUCAGUCAUAGCCUUAGACUUUUCAUUCUGCUGCCUAGUACCUUUGACUAAAAAUCAGUAAGUAGGGAGAGGGGUGCCUGGGUGGCUUAGUUGUUAAGCAUUUGCCUUCUGCUCAGGUCAUGAUCCCAGGGUCCUGGGAUCCAGUCCCACAUCGGGCUCCCUGCUCAGCUUUCAGAAGCCUGCUUCUCCCUCUCCCACUCCCCCUGCUUGUGUUCCCUCUCUCACUGUGUGUCUCUCUCUGUCAAAAAAUAAAUAAAAUCUUAAAAAAAAAAAUCAGUAAUGGGGAAGAUUCGACUGGGAGACAGCAUGGCUGGAGCUAAACCAUACAUCACAGAAUCAGGACAUAACUGUUCUCGGCAGACCUGUCUUAAGAGUUUCCUGUGUGUAACCUUGGCCAAGACAUCUGGUCAAUGAGCAAAAGAGGAGUUGGAACAAGAGCAGCCUUCUUCAUUAGACUUGAUUAGUGACAUUAUCUCCUCAUUUUAAAGAAUGGCCUAAAUGAAAUCUUCAAAGAUCCUAGGAGGGUUUCUAGAGCUGAAGAUACUGCCAUUGAUCAAAUUGUGACAGUAUUUAUGAAAUUAAACCAUACCACCCAGAGUCUGUUACUUUUCCAAAGAGAGAAAUGUUGGCGAAAUAAUUUACUUGAAGUUAGUUGGACCAGUCAUCCAUUUAUAUGAGUAAAGCCAUGGGUACACAUGAGACAGUGAUGACUACUGGCAAACAGUGCAUGUAAUGUCAAGUUCACACACAACUGGCAUGGGGAAUACUGGAAGAGCCUGGUUAUAAGAUCUGGGGCUUCAUUCUCACCCACUUAAUCAGACUCUCAGAAGAAAGGAUACAGGGAUAUGCAUUUUAGUAAGUGCCUUGGGUGAGUCUUCUUGACACCAGUGUUUCAGAACCAUGGCUCUAAGGCAUGGGAAUGGCUAUUGUUCCAAAUGGCCACUGUUUGGGCAGCCCUGCUGAAAGGAACAGAUGUUUGUUUUGGGGAAGCAGCUGAUUUCUCUUAGAAACAGUGAUGCCCUCAGAUACCGGGGUUAUUUUACUCACAGAACCACUUAGGUGGGCUUGGUGGAGGGGCCAGGCCUGCCUAACUAUAAUGUCUUCCCACUCUCAAGUUACACAAUGCUCUUAUUACUUUUUUUUUUUAAGGUUUAUUUUAGCUCGAGUGAGCACAUGGAUUGGCGAGGGGGCAGAGGGAGAGAGUCUUCAAGCAGACUCUCUGCUGAGUGCAGAGCCCUUGGGCUCCAUCCUGGGACCCAUGAGAUCAUCACCUGAGCCAAAACCAAGACUUGGACACUCAACUGACUGAGCUACCGAGGUGCACUAAUGUUUUACUAUCUUUAAACUUCAUUCCAGGAUAGAUGCUACGAAAGGCCAAAGCAGGAAGGAAAUUUACUUUAGUUGAAUUCUGGCUCUGUCACCUUGCCAGGCACUGUGCUCCUGGCUCUUUUAGAAUUCGAACGGAAAUAGUCGAAGUACUAGUUCUUCUGUCACAGAAGACUUUGAACAAGGUUUUGUCUUUAGUUGUGACAUUUACCCAAGUAAAUACAAAAACCACACUGCCUCACACACUCUGCCGGUUCAUCUCAAAAGAAUCCUUAUUUGACUUCCAAGCAAAGUUCAAGGGAUCAAGGAAUUACUGGUGUUUGAUUGAUUAAUGACCAGUCAGGAGUUGUAAAAACAGAAAAAGGGUAAAGCACUUAAAUGAGAUUUCUGCCCAUAAAAGCUGCUCCUGAAAGAGAGAGAAAAAAGAAAUAGAGACGGUGACAUGGCCUAUUUUUAGAAGAGAAGAAAACGGAGGUAAGCAAAAAGCUCCAGAGGACUCGUGUUGGCAGAUCAGAACACCUGCUUCUAGUCAUUUUUAUCCCCAACUGCAAAUCAAGCACCAGGGCAACUUCUGAAAAAUACCAGCUUUCUAACCCCACCCAAGUUUCUGCUUCAUUGGUCUGAACACUGGUGGUUUUUUUUUUUUAAUUUUAUUUAUUUACUUACUUAUUCUAUUUAUUUAUUUGGGGGAUGGGGAGGUGUGAAGGGGGAGAGAGAAGCCUCAGCAGUCUCCAUGCCCAGCAUAGAGCCCGACGCAAGUUUCAAUCCCACAAUUCUGAGAUCAUGACCUGAGCCAAAAUCAAGAGUUGGACACUCAACUGACCUGUCCCUGGACAGCAGUAUUUUUAAAGCUCCCCCAACUAGACUGAGAUCCGCUCAGAGCCUUUGUGUCUUCGUCUGUGUAAGGACAAUGGCACUUCUCAUAGAUUAGCCUGGAUAACAUAUGAAAUAGCCCUGACACCAUUUUUUUGUUGUUGCUGUUGUUACCAAGUAACUUUUUGUUCUGCUUAUAUUAACUUGAAUGUUUGCACUGUGCAAGAGUACCUUGGGACUUGGUUUUCCUAGCAUGUAUUUGAAAUCCCUGUAGAUUUUAAGGGCGCCUGGAUGGCUCAUGCAGUUAAACAUCUGCCUUUGGCUCAGGUCGUGAUCCAGGGGUCUGGGGUUGAGCCCUGUGUCAGGCUCCCUGUUCAGCGGGGAGUCUGCUUCUCCCUCCUCCACUCCCCUACUUGUGCGUGCUUGCUUGCCUGCUCUCCGUCAAAUAAAUAAAAUCUUAAAAAAAAAAAAAAAGAUAUCCUGGUAGAUUUUAAAUUCAGAGAUGAAUUCUAAUUAGAAGAAAAAUAAUAGGGGCUUAUUUUCCAGGGGACACAAAACAGAGAAGAGGAUAAACACAAACCAACAGUGCCAUUUGAUCGGACUUCCAAAGUGUAAUUUGAUCUGUGUUUUCAAAAGAAAAUAACACUCCAGUCUUAAACACCUCCAUGAUGGGGUGAUUGAUUUUUCAGUAUGAUGAUCAUGAACAUCCAGGAGAGGGCCCAAGGUUCCCCUUCCUUGUCCAAACCUCUAGCUUCAUGAGAUUUGCUAAAAUUUUCUAAAAUCCCUGGUUCUAAAUCUCUGAGGUCAAUAAAAACACCUGAGCAUCUCAGAGAACUCUGUCUGAGAUGGGGCUCAUUCUAUUCAAUCGCUUCAUCACUCUCCCCACUCCUACACUUGACCCUGAAAAAAGCCCCAAGCCAACGAGCUGGGUGUAAAGCAAAGAAGUGAUGUUCUGCCCUGGUGGUCUCUUGAGACUUGGAUUAACAUGGUUCUGGAGUGGACUAGAUUAUGUAUGUUAAGCAGGUUUGGUACUUUGACUUUGGGAGUCCUUAUUUCCUUCCCCAAAUUAAAAGGUUCAUGCAGAUCAUCGCAGUGGAAGUUCCAGUGUGUGCCUGAAAAACUAAGGGGCUUAGGUUGGCUGACUUGAGAAAAGUCUCCUGAUCUGGUCAAGCGAUGAACAGGCAGCUUGAUGCUGACCAUAAUAUUGCGCAGGUCCCAGUGAGUUCAUGUGAAUCAGUGGUUCUGCUUGGCAUUGAGACACAUAAGUAAGCUGAGGUCAUUGUCAGGAGUUCCUUUGGUCACCUGGUUCCAUGUUACUCUGUGGUUAACCAUGGUCAUUACUGAAGAAUGCUGGUCCUGAUUCCCAUGGACUGCACAAUGUCUCUAGUUAGAGUAGUAAGGAGCCUGAGCUAAGGAGUAAGACCUAGUUCUCCUCCCAUUUGCCGUACGCUGGCAAUGUGGCCUUGGGAUAACCUCUCUUCAAGCCUCUGAUAUAUAAAAUAGGGAAAAUAAAAAUCCUCAUUUAUAUAGCCAUGACAAUGAUCAAAAGUACUGCAACACAACUUAGCAUGGUUUUGGAAGUUCGUAAAUGCACAGCAAAUACUGUUAUAUUUCAGAAUUCUUUGUUCUGGUGAUAACAAAGGCAAUGUUAAUGUUAUUAAAAUUUUUCAUUAUGGUUUCCUUCAGCUAGGUGGUUUAUGUUUCAUAGAUCUUAUGUAGGAUUUUGGGAGAAUGUGUGUCUCUUUGAUGUCCAGAAAUGAUGGUGGUGAUAAGGGCAACAAUAACAUUUACGAGGCUCCUAGGAGAGGCUCUACAUAUGGCUUCUCAUUUAAUCUGCAAAACAACCAUAUGAGCUAGGAAUUUCUAUUAUCUUCAUUUGAUAGAUGAGAAAACUGAAUCUCUGAGUGUAAGAAAUUUGUCCAGGGGCAGCUGGGUGGCUCAGUGGGUUAAAGCCUCUGCCUUCAGCUCAGGUCAUGAUCCCAGGGUCCUGGGAUCGAGCCCCACAUCAGGCUUUCUGCUCAGCAGGGAGCCUGCUUCCUCCUCUCUCUGCCUGCCUCUCCGCCUACUUGCAGUUUCUGUCUGUCAAAUAAAUAAAUAAAAUCUUACCAAAAAAAAAAAAAAGAAAAGAAAAUUUUUUUCAGAGUUAUAUAGCUAGUAAAAGGUGAAACUAGAAUUCAGAUCAAACAAAUAUGAUUCUAGCUAGAGCUCAUGUUCUUAACCACAGGUCCAUGGUAGUUUAUUUUUUUAGGAUUUAGUUUUUGGGAAGAGAGAGAGAGAGAGAGAACAAGAAAGUGUGCAGAGGGAAGGGUAGAGGGAGAGAGAGAAUUUUUUUUUGA
Long non-coding RNA from Mustela lutreola (European mink), 6961 nucleotides. RefSeq lists it as uncharacterized. NCBI's taxonomy places the organism in Eukaryota, Metazoa, Chordata, Mammalia, Carnivora, Mustelidae. The record is from RefSeq and is a predicted model, not a curated record. The transcript has 5 exons.